AGGAAAGGAAACAGUAAUCCGACACUGCUGACACUAUGUCUACUGAUAACUAAUCUAAAACCCCUUCCCUUCCUACAAGUUUAUUAUUGUAAUUUUAAUCACUCUCUGCUGUAAGCCCCGUCUGAACAGUUGUAGCUCUUACAAUAAAAUUCUUUUUAAAAAGUAAUUUUUAUUUGGAGUCCAUUUAAUUAGUGACUCAUGUCGAGAGAUGUGUUUGUGACCACGUCAACCUGAUGAUGAGCGUUCGGUCGUGUUGGGCCGUGCACGCCCGAAGCACUUUCCGAUCCAAAUAAAUUUGGAUUUUCCCGUCCUAUUCGGCCGAAUUGUUACUUCGAAUUCAGCUGUCAACCACGUGACAUCAAACGCUCACCAUUGUUUAACGGCAUUCUUUACUUUUUGUUUACCUUUUCGUUGCGUUUUCAUUUCGAUGGAUUGCGAAAUAUGAGUGCUGUUGAGAAGAACCAGACUCUUUGGGACAUGCAUGAUCCGCUCUAUCAUUGGAGAGAUGUCCAGCAUAAUAUGUGGUCGAGGAUAGCUUUAUAAAUGGAACUUCCAAUAUUUUUGUUUAUUUCUUUCCCUCCAUUUGUAUGUAAACUAAGAAUUUUCGAGCAGUAACAAGUAUUCUACAUCCAUUUGUGCUCUUUCAUGAACUGACGAAAAUCGGCUAAAGUGGACGAUGGCGUUCGGCCGGUCGUCUGUUUGGUCAAAUAGUUCGGCUGUUGAACGGCCGUCCUAGUUCGGUCCAAAUGGACGAGCAGCUAAAGCAACAAAUCUGUUAUUAAUAAGGAGGAAGAAACAAUUAUCCGUAUUAACUAAAUGCGAAGCAACAGAUCCAUGGAAACGUAUCCUCGGGUCGAAGAAGGCCCGGAUAAAAGAACUGCAAUAAAGACAGCCAAUGACCUAAUAUAAUUUAAAUGACUGAUUCAUCAUCUAUAUUCUAAAACUUGUUUAACUCUUGUUGUUAAACUCUUGAAAAUAAAUUUCUCUAAAUGCGUUCUAUUCUUAUAUUUAUCAAUAUUUUUACAAUGAAAUUUAUGAUUUUGUUGAUGUGUGAUGAUGUUUCAAGGGUUAACAUUUGAAAAAAAAGAGCCAAAUAUAAAAGAUAUUAGUGUAAUUGUAAUAAAACCGUAUCGCUUACUACAUGUAGUUCUUUCUUGUGCAACUAAACCAGGGCACACCAGGGCGAUUGCGAUAAUUAUCGGCGUCGUAUCGGUUGGAGCGACACAACUUGAUAUCGCCCAGGGUAUAGACCGUCGCGCUACAUCAGUGAAUCAUGGCGAGAGACGUGUUUGUAACCACUUCAAACUGAUGAUGAGCUUAAUGGUCGAAAUCCGAUUCGUUUUAAACAACAAAUCGGUUAUCAAUAAGGAGGAAGAAACAAUGAUCCGUAUUGACUAGAAAUGCGAAGGAACAGAUCCAUGUAAACUUAACCUAGCGGCGAAAAAGGCCCGGAUAAAAGAACUGCAAUAAAGACAGCCAAUGACCAAAUAUAACUUAACUGACUGAUUCAUCAUCUUCUUCUCAAACUUGUUUAACUCUUGUUGUUAAACUCUUGAAAAUAAAUUUCUCUAAAUGCGUUCUAUUCUUAUAUUUAUCAAUAUUUUUACAAUGAAAUUUAUGAUUUUGUUGAUGUAUGAUGAUGUUUCAAGGGUUAAUAUUUGAAACAAAGAGCCAAAUAUAAACGAUAUUAGUGUUAUUGAAAU
Molecule: long non-coding RNA, 1703 nt
Filed under: Cimex lectularius (bed bug)
Lineage: Eukaryota; Metazoa; Arthropoda; Insecta; Hemiptera; Cimicidae
Description: uncharacterized LOC106665461
Source: RNAcentral